GACGAACGCUGGCGGCGUGCUUAACACAUGCAAGUCGAGCGAGGCCCCACCUUCGGGUGGGUGUCCUAGCGGCGAACGGGUGAGUAACACGUGGGCAACCUGCCCCUAGCUCUGGGAUAACCCCGGGAAACCGGGGCUAAUACCGGAUACGACCUCGAGAGGCAUCUUCCGAGGUGGAAAGGGUUUACUGGCUAGGGAUGGGCCCGCGGCCUAUCAGCUUGUUGGUGGGGUAACGGCCUACCAAGGCUCCGACGGGUAGCCGGCCUGAGAGGGCGACCGGCCACACUGGGACUGAGACACGGCCCAGACUCCUACGGGAGGCAGCAGUGGGGAAUAUUGCACAAUGGGCGAAAGCCUGAUGCAGCGACGCCGCGUGAGGGAUGACGGCCUUCGGGUUGUAAACCUCUUUCAGCUCCGACGAAGCGAAAGUGACGGUAGGAGCAGAAGAAGCACCGGCCAACUACGUGCCAGCCGCCGCGAGUAAAC
This 486-nucleotide ribosomal RNA is filed under the name uncultured bacterium. Its description in RNAcentral is "bacterial SSU rRNA". It matches the Rfam family "Bacterial small subunit ribosomal RNA", at positions 28 to 526 of the family's 1533-position model. The record is from RNAcentral.